CCUCGCGUCACCUGGGGGAGAGGAAGAGAAGAGGAGCGGGUGAGAAAAGGCUCGCGAUGACGUCAUAAACUUCAGAAAACCUCUCGUCUUCAUGUCUGUGAGCAAAGCCAAAAAAAAAUCUGAUAGUGAUUCGUGUUGCGAGCACGCGCACGCCCUGGCCUGUUGAAGAGAGCGACAUCGGACACACUCCGAGAGGAAGAAGGUGAAGAGUGAAGGCUGGAGUAACGUGAACAGAUCUACAUCAACAGCUUAAAGAUGGAUGAAGUUCCUGAGAAACUCAAGAACUUUGAGGAUGGACUUGGACUGUGAUUAAUAUCAAAAGUCUGCUACAAUGAGCUCAUGACAGCAGUUUGCAUGAAAAGUUCUGCAUUUAAGCGUCCAUCCCUGAACAGAUCACCUCAGCAAUGAUGGAACUGUAAUAAAUGGAUAUUGGUGAUGAGGAUGAGGAUGGGUUCCCUUUUGAGUCUGGUUCCUCUUAAGGUUUCUUCUUUAUGAAGUCUCAGGAAGUUUUUCCUUCACCACAGUCGCCACUGGGUCGUUUAUUAGAGAUAAACUUACACUUAUAAGGAAGAAACUUACAGGCACUAAACUUAUAAACUCAAACUUUAUAACCACUUGAUCUCUGUGAAUCUGCUUUGAGAUGUUAAAAGCGCUUGAGGAUCGUCCGAUAAAGUUCAUAACAUGAUAAUCCUGGUGUGGGUGUGAGGUGCUCCAGAACAUCUGAUCACAUGCACAUUAUCAACUUGUGCUUGUUAAUAUCAUAAACAGCAGAUACACUAAUUCCUGCUUCACCCACCCUGAGGCAUCCUGAGGUUGCUCCAGCUCCAUUCGUGUCCCACCUCAUGAAGAUUAUGGAUACCGAAAGAAAGAAAUACAGAAAGGCAUAGAUACCGACACCGCAAACAUCCUGAACCAUCUAGAUACGUACCAGCGCCAUUUGGAUCUCACAUCAUGUGGAGUUCGGAUUUUGGACCUCUUCGAAUUUGUAAAGGCUCUAGCAUGGAGAAGCUGGUGUUGGAUCUGUGAUGAUCUCAAAUGUUGAGCUAUUUUAUGAGUUGCUCAGUAGCUCCUGGUUCCACAACAUCAGCUGAAUGUAUAAGACUUUAGAAAGGACAUUACUUUUCCAUACUUUCUCCAUCGUCAUGGAGCUGGCUUUGUGCACAGGAGCAUUGUCAUGCAGGAACAGGUUCAGGCCUCCUUGUUGAAGGUCCAAAUUUGUGCUAAAAUUUUGGGGAAGGACCAAUCCGUUCUUAUCCUUUCUAUUUUCUUUAGCUGAAUGCAUGGAGACCUUUAUGGAUAUUUGGAGCAUGAAGCAGAUUACACCCUACUGUGUGUGUGUGUGUGUGUGUGUGUGUGUGAGAGAGAGAGAGAAAUGUCUUUUUGUGCCAUUUUUUGUUCAUGGUGAGUGUUUUUAGCAAGACCUGCUGAUGUGCAUUCGACUGCAGGUCACACCUGGCUGCUAAGAUCCAAACACACCUGUGAUGAUGGACAUAUGGACAAAGCGUGCAAACAGCAACGUUGGGUUUGUGUGUUGGGAGUGUGUGUGUGUGUGUGUGUGUGUGUUUGUGCGUGUGUGAGAGGGCGAGAGAGAGUUUGUUAUUUCCCUCUGAGCUGUAACGGAAUCGGUGUUCCACUGACUCAUCAGGAUUUGCAUCAGCGCGGGUUGGUGAACAACAGCGGAUAUGUGUGAUGGACAGAAUUUUGAAAGAGAAAAUACAGCCAGAAAUACGUCUUCUGCCUUUCCAUUACAACAAACAGCUAAGUGUCUCUUUAUUAGCCAGCUGCACUCACUCACACACACACACACACACACACACACACACACACAC
Molecule: long non-coding RNA, 1829 nt
Organism: Silurus meridionalis
Lineage: Eukaryota; Metazoa; Chordata; Actinopteri; Siluriformes; Siluridae
Exons: 3
Source: RefSeq, a predicted model, not a curated record